AAAGAAAUAAGAUGUGUUAUGAUUGCCAAUGAGACAACUCUCAACAAGAGACCAAAUGGCACACAAAUCAACAAUUAUAGGUCACCUUACGGCACCAGGCUGAAGCUAGCGAACAAUAAGGCGAUAUAUCGAGAAACAAAAAAAAAGGCAGAAAAUCCGUCCAGAUAUAGCAAUUUUAAUUCAAAAUUUUGAAAUGGUUUUUAUCCCAUCCAUUGAUAAAACAAGUCACAUCUCUUUUUAGGCUAAUAUUCCUUACAGGACCACAAUAACUCCGCAUCUAUCAACGGAUUAAUUGUAGGUGUAGGAGCACCAAUGCACCCACUUCAAUUUAGAACGUAUGUAAAAGUAGUCCUACUUUGUAAAAUAAAGCACCUUUGAUGUCAUUGUUUAAUUAAAGUAACAUACACAUAUGAAGAACAAGAUCGGGCUAUUCCAGGGCUUCUAGAGAAAAAUAAUGAAGGUUGUCAUGUGGUAUGACAAUAUAGCUCUUGUAGAGGAGAAAUAGGCGCUUCUUUUGUGCAAGGUAUCGAAAGGUGCUAUGUUCAAAAAUCUGAAACUAGCCCAAAAUUUGAAAAAAAUGGCAAAAAAACAGAGUGUCGGCUUAUUCCAGGGCUUUAGUGAAAAAUAAUGAUGGGUGUCACGGGGUAUGACUAUAUCGGUAUUGUAGAGGAGAAACAGGAGCUUCUUUUGCGUAAGGUAUCGAAAGGCGCUAUGUUAAAAAAUCUGAAACUAGAAAUCAAAAUUUGAAAAAAGUGGCAAAAAACAGGGUGCCGGCUUAUUCCAGGGCUUCUAGAGAAAAAUAAUGAGGGGUGUCACGGGGUAUGACUAUAUAUGUCUUGUAGAGGAGAAACGGGAGCUUCUUUUGAGCAAGGUAUAGAAAGGCGCUAUGUUCAAAAAUC
This 899-nucleotide long non-coding RNA is filed under the name Mytilus galloprovincialis (Mediterranean mussel). Lineage: Eukaryota; Metazoa; Mollusca; Bivalvia; Mytilida; Mytilidae. The record is from RNAcentral.